UACGGAGGAUCCGAGCGUUAUCCGGAUUUAUUGGGUUUAAAGGGAGCGUAGGUGGAUUGUUAAGUCAGUUGUGAAAGUUUGCGGCUCAACCGUAAAAUUGCAGUUGAAACUGGCAGUCUUGAGUACAGUAGAGGUGGGCGGAAUUCGUGGUGUAGCGGUGAAAUGCUUAGAUAUCACGAAGAACUCCGAUUGCGAAGGCAGCUCACUAGACUGUUACUGACACUGAUGCUCGAAAGUGUGGGUAUCAAACAGGAUUAGAUACC
Molecule: ribosomal RNA, 263 nt
Filed under: uncultured bacterium
Lineage: Bacteria
Description: partial 16S ribosomal RNA
Rfam family: Bacterial small subunit ribosomal RNA
Source: RNAcentral